CGGCCAACAAAUGAUCCACCUAGCCAAAAGAAGUGCCGAUUGGUCAACAAAAUUUCCACAUAGCACAAAACUUAGCCGGCUGGCCAAAAAAAGAGUUGGCCAGCAAAUUUCUGCGACAUCGGGGCAAAAAAUGGGUUAGACAACCCGAUUGGCUUCAAAAGAAGUUAGGGCUCAUUUUCCUCACAAACUCACAUCUAAUACACAUCUUCCCUCCCUCCGAAACUCUCUCUCUAGAUUCUCUCUUCAUUUUUGUAUUACCCAAGACCCGAAGUUGAUUUCCCCUUGAAUUUGCCUCGAUUUUCAGCCCUUUGUACCUUUGGUUUCCAAAAUUGGUUGUUCUUUGUUUUGCACGGUUUUGGUCUUAAAUCUUCACAAAUUGGACUGAUUCUUGGUGAUUCUUAAAGGCUAAGGUAAUUUCUCAAAACAACCUUGAUUAAUUUGCUCAUGAAAGUGAGCAAUUUCCCUGAUUUGCUUCUUGAUGUCCCUUGAAUUUCUUGAAUGUGCCUUGAAUUGCUUGAAUUUGCCUUGAAUUGUGCUUGAAUUUGCCUUGAAUUGCUUGAAUUGUGGGUAGUCACUUACUGAUUAGCCAUUGAUUUCAUACCAUACUGAUUGCUUGGUCGAUUACUCAUGAAUUUGGACAAUUUUCCUUAGAAUUUGACAUAGAUUACUCACAAGUACAUUAUAUGCCUUCCCUUUACCAAAUGAAACUUGGAACAAAAAAUAUGAUAAGGGAAAAGUGAAAAGGGGAUUAGGUUGAGAGCUUCUCUCUCUAGAAUCUAGAGAGAGAAAGCUCCUUCGGUUGUUACCCAUGGAGUUUUUUAGGGUUCCUUAUCAGAUUCUUGGUCUGGUUUUGGUGGGACUGUGUGUUGUUACUGAAUCUGGGCUUAUUGUUGUCCAGAUUUAUGAGGGUUUGAAGGUUUGCUCCGGUGAUGGAUAGAGUUUUGUCCAGCUGGUUGUGUUGCUCUACACAGGUAUUUUGUUGUUUCGAAGUGGGGCUGUUUUGGGCUUUACUGUGUUGUUAGCCUCUCUCUUUUGUUCUAGAGGGAGAUGGGUGGUGGGAAUGGGUGUGUUAUCUGCACUAAGGAGCUCUGGUUGUGGGUGGCGCCAUGGUCGUUUUGUCUCUCCGGCCAGUUUGUUUAAGCUCUCUACCUAAAAGCUGUGGGCGAGUGAGUAUAUAGUACUAGUGCUGCUGGUUGAUCUCUGGCCAGAGUUGCCUCUUUCUCGGCAUGAAGUGCUUGGAGUGAAAAGGGAUCCUCCGUGAUACUUCUCUGCUCAGGUUAUUUUCUCCUCCGAUUUGAUUUCGUCGGCGUGAUUGUGCGGUGUGUUGCUGCCUUGGUCUACUUCAGUAGUCUCACAUGAGUAGGUGUUCUAGCACUACUCUGCGGGGUUAUAUCCUGGAUGGAUGUGUUUUACGAUUUGGGAGCCUAUCCACUUCGGCAUUGGUUGGGAAAGAGGUGUUUUGCUCUAGUUUGGUUCCAGUUUGUUCUAGUUUUUGUUCAUGGUGGUCGUGUUCAUGCCCAGACAGGUGAAGGGUUUUUCGGCGUCGGGUGGGUUUUUGGUCUACUAGCACCGCUGCUACUAUAUUGACAUAAAGGCCGCGUGUUGGUGGAUUCAGCGUGCGCUGCUUGUUUCUGGGCGUUUCGCUGCGUUCUGAGGCAUCAUCUAUUUUUUGUUUUGUUGUGUAUUUAUCUAUGGUUCACGCCGGUGACAGUUUCCAAUCUUGCAGGCGUUAUUGUUAUGGAGUUUGAGAUUACUGUAGCUGGGCGUGUGCCUUACGGCCUGCUACAUAUGCGUGUGUCCAAAAGUUGGUGCAGAGCUGAUGUCACCUGCGUUUUUUAUGCUUGCACGUCUUCUCAGCAAAUAUAGCCUGAUGUGCAGGAGUAUAGCUGGAUGCACAUGGGUGCAAAGUGGGCCCGUGUGAUAGUUUGAGUUUUGGCUCCAGCUUUAGGAGGGAAAAGUUAAUCUUUUCCUGAAGAGGUUGACUAGAUGUUGUGACAAGUGGAGAUUUUUGGACCACGUGAGUAAAAGAUAUAUCAGCUUUAUAUAUAUUUGGUUUGAUUUGUGCUUUGCCCACCCAGAGUGGAACUUGGUGUUGUAGUAGGUGGGCCACAUGUGGAUUCAAAUUCAUAUCCAAAAUCUAUUAGAAAAAAUCAUGGUGGCCCACGUGUGGAUGUUUAUUACGGCUGGUUUUGGUCCAUGGUUUUCCAAGUUGGUGGAUGACCAUGGCCUUAUGUUAAAAGGUUCUAUUGGGCUGAUUUUGCAACACGUGAGCUCCAUUUUUUGGGCCACAUGUUUUUUUUUGGUGCAGCCUCUUUUCAGCAGAAUGGGAUGUGAGAUUGGGUUUGGUUAAUUGGGCUCGUCGUUGGGCUCAUUUUUUUGGACCCAAUUCUUGGUGUAAUAUGUUUGGGCCAAUGUAUAAUGGCUCAGUGUGUUUAUUUAGUAUGUUGAAUCUGGGCAAUGUUUGCCUGUGCGUGUUUCAAUUGUUGUAAUUGCCCAUAUAUCUUCCCCAAGUCUCCUUCUAUCAUCUCUGAUGGUAGGGGUCACUUGGGGGGCAAAAAGGAUAUAUGGGCAAAGAUGGGUUUUUAUGUUCUUUCUUAUAGUAAGAUUUAUUUAUUUACUUUUCUCCUUUGCUAGGGUGGUCAAGUUAGAUAUGUUGUAUUACCUGGGGUAUGCCCCCUUGUAAAUGUGUAAUUCUUUGUUUUUAAUUAAUGACUUACACACAAAGACACAAAAAAAAAAAAAAAAAAACUUAGAACAUAAAAUUUAACUUGAUUUGUAUAUUGAAUGAAAAUUCCAUGGCUUAACACAAAUUUUUAAUUCACAUUGCUAGGCUUCUUGUUGUUAUUGUUGUUGUUGCUUUUUAUUUUUUAUUUUUUACAUACACAUUGCCCCUAGUUUGACAUUGUUGAAAUUGAACUACUUGGGAUUUUUUCCCUAUCAAUUUGCCAUUGAUUUUGCAUUUUUCUUCCAAAAUUUGAACAAUGUUAGAAUAUUUCAACACUUUUCUACAUUUCUUCAUUUUGAUUCUUUUUUUUAUUUUAUUGCCCACAACUUGGGUUGGAUUUCUCGUACUCUUCUUUUGAUUCCAUAGAUUGUUAUGGAUAGUGAUGAUGCUCCACAUACUGACAUCUCCCCCCCGGUCAUUGUCUUAGAGGGUGAUGUAACGUCACCGGUGCCUGAGGUCGACGUCCCCGCACUUGUUGCGGAUAUGGAGGGCCAUGACGAGGACCUCAUGGCUGAGGACACUGAGGCAGGGCCAGAGCCAUUUCCUCUGAGGAUGAGGCCAUUUGACCCUACGGCUUAUAAGCCGUAUACUAAAACAAUGGUCCCGAGGGAGAUGUUGCGCUGUAAUAAAUUCUCACAAUGGGUCAUAGAGGACGUAUUGAUUUGGGAGCGCUCAAGGCACCUCUCCUAUGAUUCCACCAUGGUAUUCAUUUCUCUCUUUCCUUUUUUUAUUUAGUGUGCCAUGCUUUGAACUCUCGAUACCUCCAAUCUCUUGCAUGCUAACAACUUGCUUAUUACAGGUCCUCGAUCGACUGAUGAGUGGGUAUGAGAGCGUCUACGGCCCUUGCUAGUGGUACAAAAAUCUUCCCACCGAGGUCCGUAUCUUGGUGGACGGGGUUGGAUUCGGCCCAUUUUGCUUGGGCAUCAUAUCGCUGCAAGCAGACCGGUCGAUUUUCGAUGCCUUGGUAGAGAGGUGGUGGGACACCACCAACUCCUUCCAUUUCUCUUCUGCCAGGGAUAUGACGAUGAUCCCGUAUGACUUCUUCAUGAUCACCAGUCUCUCAGUGGGGGAUAAGCCAAUCCCGUUUGACCUCGACCUCAUCUAGUGACCCAUUGCUCAGAUGUUCUUUCUUGGGGUUGUCCCACCCCUCACUCGCCAUGAGAUAAUUCGCUACAACUGGCUCUAGCAACACUUCUACGGGUUAGAGCCAGUGACACUAGAGGAGGCUGCCCAGUAUGCUGGCUAGUUCUUCUUUAUGUCCUCGGUACUACCUUGUGUGGGAACAAGGAGAAUACCAUAGGACUCUACUUUUUGAGCGGCAUGGUGGAGCUCUAACGGGUGAGGGAGUACGACUAGGUGGAGCUAACCUUGCCACAUUUUAUGGCUACAUGAGCUCUGUGCCCCGCUAAAAGGCGGAGCUGCUGGGAGGUUAAUAGAGGGCAAGGGAGGUACAUUUUGCACUCUCUUUCAAUUCAUUUAUAUUUCAUUGCUUGUUUUAUUUCCAUUUUUGCCUGUUGAUUUCCUGACAUGCUUUCCCAUGCAGAUAUGGCUUUACACUUACUUUUCCUCUAUCACCCUGAUCCCGAGAUUAGAGAUAACUCUGGCAGUGCCUCACUCAUUGUCCUAUGGCGGAAGGCUCUGCCCUUACAGCCAGCACAUUAGCAACUUUAUCGCCUUUCGUUGUUUCUUCAACACGGUGACCGUUGACAUGGUAAUCAUUCAUUGAACUCUUGGGCGGCCAUGCCCAACGCAAUGAGGGAGAGGUAUGUUGUCACCUAGGAGACUUCCUAGAUAAUGGUGCACUAGAGGGGCCCUUUUGCAGAGUCUAGUACUUGGGGAAGUGAUUCACUUGCCAGACCUUGCGCCAUGUCAAUCUUCGUAUUUCGUCUCUUCUUUCUCCACUCGUGAGAAUUGUUGAUGAUAUCACUGAUGAGGCCCUCAUCAAUCACAUGGCAUUAAGGUAGCAUAUUGAUGCCUUCUACUUUCUCGGAGACUAUUGCAUUCCUGUGGUCUCACAUCAUGCCACCUCUGACUGAGGGCGUGGCUCGCAUUAUCGAAAUUGUUGAUGCCCCAACUGCUAGUGAUGCUUUUGCUGGUGCUGCUCCUCCAGCUAGAGGUCUCACAUCUCCUGCUGACAAUGCUACAUUUCCUCUUGAGUAUCCGUCACUUUCCACAGCAGUUACAUUUUAGCACUCGAAUGGCAUUUUGGAUGAGCUACCCUUGGAGCCUCUCAGACGAUGAUCGCUCAUCCUCGCUCUAGAGACCUGAUUGUACCCCGAGAUGGGUUGUAUGGAUCAGUGCCUAGAGCUCAUCGACACACUAAUGGUCAUAGUCAAGAGGAGGGAGGCAUCUCUAGUCUCCCUUGGGAUUGAGGUAGCAGCCCCUCCAGCCAUGAGGGAGAGAGGAGGACGAGCUCCAUCACAAAUGAGAGGAGGUUGAGGUAGAGAUGACUGUGGCAGGAGAGGGAGAAGAGUAUCUGUUGAGAUCCCCAAGCUAGAGCCAUAGGCUUUUGAUGAGCACUUUAAGGACUCCGGAGAGAGCAGAAAGGAGAGUGAUAGUGGCGGAAAUGCUGGUGCCAAUGUCGAGACUUCCGAUAACACACUACGAAUGAGGACGAAGAGAGAUUCAAGCUUAUUUCUUCUUUCUUUGAAUGAUGUAUUUUUUCUUUUUGCCUUUUUUUUCCUUCUUUUUGAUGUACUUUUCUUUUUCCCUUUCCUUUUAUUCCUUUUAUUCCUUUUUUUUUUGUGUGUGUGUGUUUUUGUGUUUUUUUUUUUUUUGUAAAAGGAUGACAUAAAACUUAUGAUGAUAUAUAUUAUCCCUUUCUUUUAUGUA
Molecule: non-coding RNA, 5557 nt
Organism: Camellia sinensis
Lineage: Eukaryota; Viridiplantae; Streptophyta; Magnoliopsida; Ericales; Theaceae
Source: RefSeq, a predicted model, not a curated record